UACAGAGGGGGCAAGCGUUGUUCGGAAUUACUGGGCGUAAAGGGCGCGUAGGCGGCCUGCUAAGUCGAACGUGAAAUCCCCGAGCUCAACUCGGGAACUGCGUCCGAUACUGGAAGGCUUGAAUCCGGGAGAGGGAUGUGGAAUUCCAGGUGUAGCGGUGAAAUGCGUAGAUAUCUGGAGGAACACCGGUGGCGAAGGCGACAUCCUGGACCGGUAUUGACGCUGAGGCGCGAAAGCCAGGGGAGCAAACGGG
This 253-nucleotide ribosomal RNA is filed under the name uncultured bacterium. RNAcentral's name for it is "partial 16S ribosomal RNA". It matches the Rfam family "Bacterial small subunit ribosomal RNA", at positions 524 to 776 of the family's 1533-position model. The record is from RNAcentral.